CAACCCACAACGUGACAGACAGAGUGAAAUAAAUCCACUGUGUCCCUUUAAAUCUAAAUUUAAACUGCCAAAUUAGGCAGUGUUUCAUAUUUUAUUCAUUUAUAAACAAUAAAAAAAUCUGUCUCAAUAAAGCCACUUGGAGAAUCUUUUGAAGAUAACUCUCACCUCUUUAAUGCGGGAAGUCUCUUGUCGAGGCUGGGCAGACUAUUUAGGAACCUUUAGAGCUCCAUGAGUUUGCUGACUGGAGGAUCUGGUCUCUACUUUUUGUGGAUGGUGUGGUCCUUUGGGCUCCAUAAAACUUUGACCUUCAGCUAUUGCUAUGAAGGUUUGCAGGUGAGUCUGAAGCAGCUGGGGUGAGGAUCAGCAACCUCCAAACCCGACGCCACGGCUCUCAGUCGGAAAAGGGCGGAUUACCAACUCUGAGUUGAGGGAGAAAUCCUACCUUAAAUGGAGGAGUUUCAAUUACCUCGAGGUCUUGUUCAAAAGUGAGGGAAGGAGGGAGCGAGAGAUUGACAGGUGGAUUGAGGAAGCAUCUGCAGUGAUGUAUAUAUGUGAUGCAUUGGAAAACAGAGGAAGAUGGAUGGAUUGUGUCAUGAGUCUGCUGUUUUUCCCUCUGAGUCUAUUUGCAGGUGGGCGUGUCGGAGAGCCUCAGCUGCUGCUGAUUUCUCAUCAGCAAGGCCAGGGGAUUUAAGGAGUGGCAUGUCCACACUCCAGCGCCGGUUGAUACUCUCACCUGGGUAGCUUCCAGCCUCGUCCUGAAAUUGUACAAUUUUUGCAAUCUUGCUCUGCUUGUCCUGUUUAAUUACCUGUCCUGCCCCCCCAGAUCUACUACCAAGUCUCAGCCUGAGUUCUCUUCUGUCCUGGAGUGUGUACCUCAGCCUCGCCACUCAUUCUCCCCUGGUCAUCUGCUCUCCGCCGUUCACCUGCUCUGGAUAUUCGUCAACCACAUCCAUCCAGCCUGAACCAUCGACCAGACCUAACCUACCCUCUCCUCACAUUCAUCCUCUGUUCUGUUUCCACCCUGACCGGGUUUCCGCUUCGUCUAAGAUCGCCCUUAGUUCCCGUUGGCUUUUUCCAGCACCCGUUUGGAGCUGCGUCCUUCGUUAUUAUUAUUUUUUCAUUUAAUAAAAUCAAAUUCUUAUUUUUA
This is a long non-coding RNA of Nothobranchius furzeri (turquoise killifish), 1147 nucleotides long. RefSeq lists it as uncharacterized. NCBI's taxonomy places the organism in Eukaryota, Metazoa, Chordata, Actinopteri, Cyprinodontiformes, Nothobranchiidae. The record is from RefSeq and is a predicted model, not a curated record.